Long non-coding RNA from Catagonus wagneri (Chacoan peccary), 1740 nucleotides. The record is from Ensembl. NCBI's taxonomy places the organism in Eukaryota, Metazoa, Chordata, Mammalia, Artiodactyla, Tayassuidae.
GGAAGCCGGCCGGGGGCUGAUACCGGGGAGGUGGCGUGGGGAGACGCUCGCCGCCAGCGCCCAGGCGUUUCCCCAGGGCUUCCCAAGAUUCAAACUCGACGGCCCUCGCCACGUCCCGCUCAGGAGGAUGAGAGGGACAGCGAGGGAAAGCGCUCUUGCGGCGAGAUUAAAGAUUAGAACACCUAGUUCAUGCCCGGCCCCGCCUUCCCCUGCCGACUGACGGCGCGCCGGGCCCCGCGCUCCGCCCGCAGACUCCCUGGAGCCCUAGCACGGGCGCUGACGGGCACCCGGCUGGCGCGCUGACGUCAUUGUGCGUCGGCGUGGGCCCUGAGCGGGCGGGGGGCUUCAGGAGCUCUGAAGCCGCGCAGCCCCGCUGCUUGUUCAGCCCGUGUGGCUGCUCCGCGGACAGUGGCGGUUCCUGGCGGCAUCGCUGUUUUCGCGUUGGACGCGUUGGCCCGGUGAUUUACAGUCCUGAAGAGUCUACUUCUUCCUUCUCAUUUUUUCCCAUUGAAGUAAUAAAUCCAAUUGUGGAGACUCAGAAAUUUUAUGAAGGGAUAUAGUUUGAAUUCUGUGCAGUGUAAUUUUGUGUAUGAAUUAUAUUUUUAAUUUAUGAAGUGUUUUUAGAAAGAAGGCUAGUAGGGUUAAUUAUUGAUACAUUAUGCAUGAGUAAUGAUUCUGUUGAUAAUACAGUAUCUGCUUAGGCUUAUGUGUUAACACUAGAAAGGACAAACUGAAUCUUGGUAAAUUGAUUUACCUUUAAUUACAAAAUGAAUGAUAUACAUGUGUGAUUCUUAAAUGAAAAAUAAGUUAAUUUUUUAAAAAAGUUUGUCCUGUGAAAAUUUUAUGGGUAACUAGUUAAAUUUAUGGAGAAAAUACCUUCAAUUGAUCAAGUAUAAUAAACUGUAUACAAAGUUAGGAAGAAAAACAAUGUAAUAAUGAUGCUGCAGGAAAUGGAAACAAAUAUAGAAAAUAUUUAAUAAAGAUGGAAGAGUUAGCAGUUUGUGAAGGAAGCAGAAUCCAUUUCACUUCACAUCAUGCACAGUAUAACAGGCUUCAACAAAGCUUAUAGGUAUUGAGAUCCCCAGAAGUUGUUAGUUGGAGCUAAUUUAACCUUAAGUAAAUACUACAUUGAUAAACUAUGAAAUUAGCUUUUAGAUAAUAUGACCAUAUGGGGACUUUAAUUCUUUUUUACUAGAAUAAAAGAUUUUUUAAAAUAUCAUACUAAAGUGCUGGUAGGGAAAGAAGCCUGCAUAGUUUUUUUCCUCUUAUAGCAUAAUAAUUAAUUGGCUUGAUAUCCAGUCUUUAUAACUUAUAAUCAAAAGCAAAUUAAAGGCAUAAUUUAGGUAUUCUAUCCUUGUUUAGAGUUUUUAGACUGUAAACCUCCUUGAAAAAUCAAGGAGUUUUAACAUUUUCAGAAGUGUGUUAGCUUCUUUCAUGCUAUUAGGUUAGUAUUACACCAAAUAAUGAGCAGAUAGCACCGGAGUUAAUAUAAUCCCAGAGUAUUAAGUAGUGUUUUGGUAAUUAGGAGAUUCAUUCACCUGAGUAUAAACUCAGAUCUAAAUCUAGUGGAGAAGAUAUAGUGAAUUUUACCUAAGUGGGAGCCUAUCAUUUGAUUCUUUUUCAUGAUAAAAAUCUAGUGUGAUGCGAAGAGAAAUUUCAUGUGAAGGAUUUUAGCCAUCAAAAAAGUAUAAUCACUUAUGCACAAAACUGUCUCCCAAAGACUUGUCCCAGGUCCCUCAU